Cephus cinctus (wheat stem sawfly) is the source of this 2309-nucleotide long non-coding RNA. RefSeq lists it as uncharacterized. The record is from RefSeq and is a predicted model, not a curated record. The transcript has 2 exons. Lineage: Eukaryota; Metazoa; Arthropoda; Insecta; Hymenoptera; Cephidae.
UCUUCUGUCACUGUCACCAUUGCGUCUUCGCGGCUUACUAGUGACUUCAUUUGUUUCCUUUGCUUCUUUCCCUUUCGAGAUUUUCUUAAAUCGAGAGAGAGAGAGAGAGAGAAGAAUAAAUUUUAGAUCAUAUAGCAACAAUCUUCCUGGAAAACAACAGACACCUCGUCUUCUGUUUCCUUCGCCAGAAACCAAUGACACUAGACCCGGCGACGGUGCACGUGCAUGUCCUCCCUAAACAUUUUGAGAAGUACUUUCAAAAGCAUAUUGACAUAUAAUUGCCUGCAUGACCAACAACGCAAUUCUAACUACUUGCUUAUAAAUUCGUGAGUGAAUAUUCUCUGGAUAAAAGGUCACGUUCAUCAGCGCCACAAAUAAUCGUAGUACAUACCGUGUCGUCCCUCUUGCGUGUCAUUAACGUACUAAGUCCAGGUAGUACCAAGAACAAACGACGCUGUCGUCCCGUACUAAAAACAUCGAUCUGUUAUGAUUUCACGAGCUCUUUUCAAAUAACAUUCACUUAAACGCGUAGACAUGUAAAUUCUCUCGUGCGCUACAUAAUCUCCUAAUUGUUUUUCCUCUUGUUUCUGAAUUUUAUCUUGGCAUCACGUGACGUUUGUCUAAUUGUUUCGUCACGUGGACGCGCGUUCAAAUCAGCCAAUUCUGUAUCUCUUUUCCACUCGUACGACGCUCAAAGGCCAUUUCCUUCCUUGGAGACGUAGCGACGACUAUUUUCUCCUUACGGCAUUGUUAACCAUUCUUGUUAUCUCUACCUCGGCCUCUCUCUCUCUCUCUCUCUCUCUCUCUCUUUCUCCUCUUUACUCUCUAAUGCCUCGCACUCGUUUCAAUGCACUCUGUAAACCCGUACCUGCACCCACGUUGGUUCAAAUGAAUUUGCAAUAAAUCGUUGUCACUCCAUGGAUGAUUACCUGUUGUCAAGACUCGGUAUAAUUCAUUUUUCAUCUUUAACAUUUUAACAAUUAUUAUAAAUCAUGUCUAGUAAGCAUCAUUAUUUUUUUUAAUUCCCGGAGACAACUUCUAUGCACGUACUGCUAUGUCUAACUGUGUAUUCUCCACCUCGCUUACGUGUGUUCUGAAAAUUAUUUUCUACCAGAUCAUACACUGCUACCUAUAGUCUACUCCUCUCUCAUAUCCUGGCAAUGCAGGCUCGACGGGACUGACAGACGAAUGCCUUCGUGUAACAUCAGCUUUUGAAUUAGCAAGAUCAUCUUAACGAGCAUGACGCUUCUGCUGGCUUCUGCUGGUAUAACGCCUCUAUGGAAUACGUGUAUGUCAUUGUAUGUAUAUAUAUAUAUCGGCUAGACGACCCACCUUGUAAUUUAAAGGCGAAUAUUCAUAGCGCAGGAAAGCAAACAGGCCGAGGAGCUUUGAAGAGUUUUUGCAACACGUCAACCAUAUUCAACUUUGAGACCAAGUAUAAGUGUGCACACCAUUAUGCCCGAGAAGAAUUUUCGUAUUUCCCGCGCUCUGUGCCUUUCACGCAUGCGUCAAUUGUUUACUGCGUAGCUACGUACACAUGAAAUAUUACGCGUCGAUGACGUCACUCGAAAUUACUUAAAAUCUACGUCCGACAGUGCUUCCGAUAGAAGGAGGCCGCGUGUUCUAUGUUAGGAAAGCGGAAAAUUUGAUUACGUUUUAAAAUAGACUUGUUCCCUUCCUAUUGCGCACCUUCGAAUACGUCAAACGUCAACCUUUCGCCCGAGGCGUCAGCCAUUAGCAUAAUGGCCCGUAUAACCGAGUGAGUUAUUUUUCUUUUUUCCGUCCAAGAGCAUUGAUCUAUCAAUACUUCGACUGAAAUUCGUCAACUACGUUUUUCUAUGGUAGCAAUAGUAGUAUUAAUGAUAGUCGAUCGUGGCAAUAAUGUAAUAGUAUUGUAAUAAUAGUAGGGAAGUUGGCAUAAGUAAUUCUCGUUCUCUCUUUCUCUUUCCUCCUUGUAUAUCCAUAUCGCUAUGGCUCUCUCGCACUCGCACGACCAGCCUAAGGUACGAUCUCUCUCGCGGCCAUUAUUCCGCAACGAAAUUCCGAACCUGUUACCUGCGUGUGUAUCUCGUAUCGACCGCCAUCUUUCUCCCACAGUAUAAGAAUGGACACAUUGUAGAUCGUAAAACCCACUACGUAGACCAGCUCCGGAUUAGAAUCAACGGAUCUUCGCCUCUUCUCUCUCCACAUUGCCUCCUGCGUCUGUCACGUGGCUAAGUGAAAAAAACGGAAGGACACGACAUCGAUAUUUUUAUUUUACGAAUAUCAACGAGACAUUUUGUAUCGAUAAUAAAUACCAUACUACCAUU